This 913-nucleotide long non-coding RNA is filed under the name Equus asinus (donkey). RNAcentral describes it as "lncRNA (ENSEASG00005030496.1)". The record is from RNAcentral. Lineage: Eukaryota; Metazoa; Chordata; Mammalia; Perissodactyla; Equidae.
UUAGGUUGGAGCAUGUGUCUAGUUCUGGCCAGUGAAAGGUAAGCAGAAGCAUCAUGUAUCACUUGUAGGUCAAGGUGGGUGAGAAUCACGGGGAGCCCUCUUCCAUCUCUUGUGCAGUGACUUCGGAAUCGAUGCACUAAUACGGCAGCAUCACAAGAUGGAGAGGACUGGGGUCUCAGAGUGGAAGACAAUCUCUGCUGACAUCACCACUUUGUGCCCUCUACAGAGCAAUUGAACAGAGUCAUUUUUGGAACUGUUGGUGGGAGGCUGGAGCGAUAGAAUGCAAAUAGCUGCUUCUCCUUACUUCUAUGAGCCUCUGUUUCCUCGUCGAAAAACAAGGGAAAGUCUGAUUGGGCAGUUCUCCUUAGAGGCUGUCCUCAAGACAGUGACUCAGGAUCUGGGCUGCUUCUGUAUUACGGCUCUGCCAUCUCCUAGUGCCUCCAUGGACUCCUCUGCUUGGUCAUCACUCAGCCAUCAAGUAAAGAGAGAGACAGCAAGGAGGAUCACCCAGGAUGUUUCAUAGACAAGUCUGGAAGUGGUGUACAUUACUUCCCUCCACAUGCCAUUGCCCAGAACAUGGUCAACUAACACCAGCCUAACAGCAAGCAGGACUGGGACACGAGUCUUAUCCAGAAAGAGGAAGUGGAAUUGACUCACUUUUGUACACCAUCUUCAUGCAAAUGGUGGAGCCCUCCUCAACUGGAACUGCCCUCAAUAAGUCAUAAUGUGGACUUUGACCUCUGACCACAUUUGGAAAGUGACCAAAUCAAGACAGAAAAAUCUAACUUGCCAAAGACCACAUAGGAAGUUCUUGGCAAAGUCAGAUGAGAAAACAGAGUUCAUGAACUUCAAGAGCCAACAUUUUUAACCACUGCCUCUGUUCCUUGUUUUGGGAACCCUUUUCCAAUAAAAA